GGAGAGAUGGCUGAGCGGUCUAUGGCGGCGGUCUUGAAAACCGUUGAAGGGUCAAACCUUCCUAGGGUUCGAAUCCCUAUCUCUCCGCAA
RNAcentral lists this transfer RNA (90 nucleotides) under Candidatus Magasanikiibacteriota bacterium. RNAcentral describes it as "Candidatus Magasanikbacteria bacterium (metagenome) tRNA-Ser". It matches the Rfam family "tRNA". Rfam says of the family: Transfer RNA (tRNA) molecules are approximately 80 nucleotides in length. The record is from RNAcentral. Lineage: Bacteria; Candidatus Magasanikiibacteriota.